CCCGACUGCUAUUUGGGUGAGGAUAAGCCAUGCGAGUCGAAUGGGAUACCUAAAUUUCCCAUGGCGAACUGCUCAAUAACACAUGAUCAACUUACCCUAUGGAGAAAAAUAACCUCGGGAAACUGAGGAUAAUGUUUCAUAGUUGAAAAGGCUUGGAAAAGUUUUUCGACCAAAGGGAUAAGAAAAAUGGUUUUUAUCCGCUAUAGGAUAGGAUCGUGGUCGAUUAUGGUCGUUGGUGAGGUAAUGGCUCACCAAGCCGAUAAUCGAUAGGGGCCGUGAGAGCGGGAGCCCCGAGAUGGGUACUGAGACAGCGACCCAGGCCUUACGAGGCGCAGCAGGCGCGGAACCUCCGCAAUACACGAAAGUGUGACGGGGUUACCCAAAGUGUUCAAUUUUGAACUGUGGUAGGUGAGUAAUGUUCCCUACUAGAAAGGAGAGGGCAAGGCUGGUGCCAGCCGCCGCGGUAAAACCAGCUCUUCAAGUGGUCGGGAUAAUAUUGGGCUUAAAGUGUCCGUAGCCGGUUUAGUAAGUUCCUGGUAAAAUCGGGUAGCUUAACUAUCUGCAUGCUAGGAAUACUGCUAUACUAGAGGACGGGAGGGGUCUGAGGUACUACAGGGGUAGGGGUGAAAUCUUAUAAUCCUUGUAGGACCACCAGUGGCGAAGGCGUCAGACUGGAACGUGCCUGACGGUGAGGGACGAAAGCCAGGGGAGCAAACCGGAUUAGAUACCCGGGUAGUCCUGGCCGUAAACGAUGCAUACUAGGUGAUGGCAUGGCCAUGAACCGUGUCAGUGCCGUAGGGAAACCGUUAAGUGUGCCGCCUGGGAAGUACGGUCGCAAGGCUAAAACUUAAAGGAAUUGGCGGGGGAGCACCACAACGGGGUGAAGCCUGCGGUUCA
RNAcentral lists this ribosomal RNA (897 nucleotides) under uncultured archaeon. RNAcentral's name for it is "bacterial SSU rRNA". It matches the Rfam family "Archaeal small subunit ribosomal RNA", at positions 21 to 904 of the family's 1478-position model. The record is from RNAcentral.